This is a long non-coding RNA of Marmota monax (woodchuck), 742 nucleotides long. RefSeq lists it as uncharacterized. The transcript is spliced from 3 exons. NCBI's taxonomy places the organism in Eukaryota, Metazoa, Chordata, Mammalia, Rodentia, Sciuridae. The record is from RefSeq and is a predicted model, not a curated record.
GAACCUGCGGCUGGGGCUGGUGAGUGAGGAGAGGGACGGACAGCCCAGACAGCCACAGGGGUGGUCCAAACUUCGGUCCAGAAGGUCCUGAAGCCAUGUAUCUCACCCUUCCACGCGCACAAGUCACCUGAGACCACGCUCAACGAGGAUUCUCAUUCAGUAGGUCCAGGACAAGGGCCUCUGCACUUUGCCAGAAAAGGAGAUUCUGCUGACUUCUGGAAGCGCUCGUCAAUGCCAGGUAAGCUGGGCAUGGGAACGAGGGCAAGCAUGCCCCUCUGUGGGCAGACUCCACGGCCUUCCGGCCGCCUUUCCAGAGCCCUAUAGCCUGUACAGUCCUCGCAGAGGCCAGCUAGUGCCUGGGCGAGCCCAGGAUUGGCCGGUCAGGAGCGGCUGUCACCUGCUGCCACUUCCCUCCUAUUCUUCCUUCCCAUAUGGCCUCCCUGUGGGCAGCACAGGUGCCACCUGAGCCCCUGCAGUGUGGGCCAUCCCAUGCCUUCGAGUGCGGUAACCUGUCCACACCUGCGGGUCCUCACAGGGGGUGACUUGUGUAUUAUCCUCAGGGAAACACCAAGAAUGGAGGCUGGUGACAGGAAGCACUUACGGUGUCCUCCACACAUGGUCACCAUCAGCAGCUGUUCAGGCAGCUGUGCCACCGUUAACUCUGCAUGGCAUUGCCCACAUGGUUAUGUGGCUGGGAAUGUCCAUGGGAGGUGUCGCUCACCUCCCCGACCCCAUCGCUUCU